AUCUGCUAGCGCUCGACGCUAACGUAAACCAUCUGCAUUGCAUUUUAACAGUCAAAAAUAAAUAUGAAAUUUUACCCAUUUGAAUAUUGCUGCUUCUGCGUUGAUCUACGCCUGGGCUCACUUAUUAUAGGAUGUAUAAAUUUGAUUGGUAACAUAGUUCUGGAGGUAUUUGCUUGCUAUGGACUAGAAGGCGGGGUGCUUCUGCAGUCCCUAAAUAUUAUUGGGGCCAAUGAGUUGGGCGUGGCUUUGGUCGUCAGUAAUUCUAUACUUGUGGUUAUUAUAGCCGUAUUCAUUGGGUUCACUUGCUUGCUUCUUUUCGGAAUUUAUAAGAAUCGGCGCUCGUUUGUCAAGAUGUAUCUAAUAUAUGCGCUACUGUUUCUUGUGGUAUACGCUAUAACAUUCUUCGUUCUGUUGGGCAAUGGAAUUACUGGAGUCGGCGAUAUAAUAGAAGGAGUCGUAACCAUUUUUUGCAACAUUUAUUUCAAUCUGGUGAUCAAGAGUUACUACGAUGUGAUGCUAGUGGAUGAUGUACAGGUUACCUAUCGCUCAUAAAUCGCGUCAGUUACCAUAGAAACAG
Molecule: long non-coding RNA, 577 nt
Organism: Pieris brassicae (large cabbage white)
Lineage: Eukaryota; Metazoa; Arthropoda; Insecta; Lepidoptera; Pieridae
Exons: 5
Source: RefSeq, a predicted model, not a curated record